AAAUUGAAGAGUUUGAUCAUGGCUCAGAUUGAACGCUGGCGGCAGGCCUAACACAUGCAAGUCGAGCGGUAGCACAGAGAGCUUGCUCUCGGGUGACGAGCGGCGGACGGGUGAGUAAUGUCUGGGAAACUGCCUGAUGGAGGGGGAUAACUACUGGAAACGGUAGCUAAUACCGCAUAAUGUCGCAAGACCAAAGUGGGGGACCUUCGGGCCUCAUGCCAUCAGAUGUGCCCAGAUGGGAUUAGCUAGUAGGUGGGGUAACGGCUCACCUAGGCGACGAUCCCUAGCUGGUCUGAGAGGAUGACCAGCCACACUGGAACUGAGACACGGUCCAGACUCCUACGGGAGGCAGCAGUGGGGAAUAUUGCACAAUGGGCGCAAGCCUGAUGCAGCCAUGCCGCGUGUGUGAAGAAGGCCUUCGGGUUGUAAAGCACUUUCAGCGGGGAGGAAGGCGUUGAGGUUAAUAACCUCAGCGAUUGACGUUACCCGCAGAAGAAGCACCGGCUAACUCCGUGCCAGCAGCCGCGGUAAUACGGAGGGUGCAAGCGUUAAUCGGAAUUACUGGGCGUAAAGCGCACGCAGGCGGUCUGUCAAGUCGGAUGUGAAAUCCCCGGGCUCAACCUGGGAACUGCAUUCGAAACUGGCAGGCUAGAGUCUUGUAGAGGGGGGUAGAAUUCCAGGUGUAGCGGUGAAAUGCGUAGAGAUCUGGAGGAAUACCGGUGGCGAAGGCGGCCCCCUGGACAAAGACUGACGCUCAGGUGCGAAAGCGUGGGGAGCAAACAGGAUUAGAUACCCUGGUAGUCCACGCCGUAAACGAUGUCGAUUUGGAGGUUGUGCCCUUGAGGCGUGGCUUCCGGAGCUAACGCGUUAAAUCGACCGCCUGGGGAGUACGGCCGCAAGGUUAAAACUCAAAUGAAUUGACGGGGGCCCGCACAAGCGGUGGAGCAUGUGGUUUAAUUCGAUGCAACGCGAAGAACCUUACCUGGUCUUGACAUCCACAGAACUUUCCAGAGAUGGAUUGGUGCCUUCGGGAACUGUGAGACAGGUGCUGCAUGGCUGUCGUCAGCUCGUGUUGUGAAAUGUUGGGUUAAGUCCCGCAACGAGCGCAACCCUUAUCCUUUGUUGCCAGCGGUUAGGCCGGGAACUCAAAGGAGACUGCCAGUGAUAAACUGGAGGAAGGUGGGGAUGACGUCAAGUCAUCAUGGCCCUUACGACCAGGGCUACACACGUGCUACAAUGGCAUAUACAAAGAGAAGCGACCUCGCGAGAGCAAGCGGACCUCAUAAAGUAUGUCGUAGUCCGGAUUGGAGUCUGCAACUCGACUCCAUGAAGUCGGAAUCGCUAGUAAUCGUAGAUCAGAAUGCUACGGUGAAUACGUUCCCGGGCCUUGUACACACCGCCCGUCACACCAUGGGAGUGGGUUGCAAAAGAAGUAGGUAGCUUAACCUUCGGGAGGGCGCUUACCACUUUGUGAUUCAUGACUGGGGUGAAGUCGUAACAAGGUAACCGUAGGGGAACCUGCGGUUGGAUCACCUCCUUACCUUAAAGAA
Molecule: ribosomal RNA, 1550 nt
Filed under: Klebsiella pneumoniae
Lineage: Bacteria; Pseudomonadati; Pseudomonadota; Gammaproteobacteria; Enterobacterales; Enterobacteriaceae
Description: bacterial SSU rRNA
Rfam family: Bacterial small subunit ribosomal RNA
Source: RNAcentral